RNAcentral lists this ribosomal RNA (495 nucleotides) under uncultured bacterium. RNAcentral describes it as "partial 16S ribosomal RNA". It matches the Rfam family "Bacterial small subunit ribosomal RNA", at positions 28 to 507 of the family's 1533-position model. The record is from RNAcentral.
GACGAACGCUGGCGGCGUGCCUAAUACAUGCAAGUAGAACGCUGAUGGCGGAGCUUGCUUCUCUGGAUGAGUUGCGAACGGUUGAGUAACGCGUAGGUAACCUGCCUGGUAGCGGGGGAUAACUAUUGGAAACGAUAGCUAAUACCGCAUAACAGUAGAUAUCGCAUGAUAUCUACUUGACAGGUGCAAUUGCAUCACUACCAGCUGGACCUGCGUUGUAUUAGCUAGUUGGUGAGGUAACGGCUCACCAAGGCGACGAUACAUAGCCGACCUGAGAGGGUGAUCGGCCACACUGGGACUGAGACACGGCCCAGACUCCUACGGGAGGCAGCAGUAGGGAAUCUUCGGCAAUGGACGGAAGGCUGACCGAGCAACGCCGCGUGAGUGAAGAAGGGUUUCGGAUCGUAAAGCUCUGUUGUAAGAGAAGAACGAGUGUGAGAGUGGAAAGUUCACACUGUGACGGUAUCUUACCAGAAAGGGACGGCUAACUACGUG